AGGAGGAACAACCCCAAUGGCUGUGGCAGCUCCAGAGCCCUGGGUUCAGCUCCCCCAUUAACUCCGGAGCUCUCAGUCUCCAGGGGCCUGGAUGCUGGGUGGGGGG
This 106-nucleotide microRNA precursor is filed under the name Canis lupus familiaris (dog). RNAcentral describes it as "mir-8834 microRNA precursor family". It matches the Rfam family "mir-8834 microRNA precursor family". The record is from Rfam by way of RNAcentral. Lineage: Eukaryota; Metazoa; Chordata; Mammalia; Carnivora; Canidae.